UACGUAGGGGGCAAGCGUUGUCCGGAUUUAUUGGGCGUAAAGAGCUCGUAGGCGGCUUGGUAAGUCAGGUGUGAAAUCUCCACGCUCAACGUGGAGGGGCCACCCGAAACUGCCAUGGCUUGAGUCCGGUAGGGGAGUGUGGAAUUCCCGGUGUAGCGGUGAAAUGCGCAGAUAUCGGGAGGAACACCCGUAGCGAAGGCGGCACUCUGGGCCGGUACUGACGCUGAGGAGCGAAAGCGUGGGGAG
Molecule: ribosomal RNA, 246 nt
Filed under: uncultured bacterium
Lineage: Bacteria
Description: partial 16S ribosomal RNA
Rfam family: Bacterial small subunit ribosomal RNA
Source: RNAcentral